UACGUAGGGUGCAAGCGUUGUCCGGAAUUAUUGGGCGUAAAGAGCUCGUAGGCGGUCUGUUGCGUCGGCUGUGAAAACCCGGGGCUCAACUCCGGGCCUGCAGCCGAUACGGGCAGACUAGAGUUCGGCAGGGGAGACUGGAAUUCCUGGUGUAGCGGUGAAAUGCGCAGAUAUCAGGAGGAACACCGAUGGCGAAGGCAGAUCUCUGGGCCGUAACUGACGCUGAGGAGCGAAAGCAUGGGGAGCGAACAGG
Molecule: ribosomal RNA, 253 nt
Filed under: uncultured bacterium
Lineage: Bacteria
Description: partial 16S ribosomal RNA
Rfam family: Bacterial small subunit ribosomal RNA
Source: RNAcentral